UCAGGAUGAACGCUGGCGGCGUGCUUAACACAUGCAAGUCGAACGAAGCAACUAUACGAUCCCUCGGGGUGACGAUUUGUUGACUGAGUGGCGGACGGGUGAGUAACGCGUGGGUAACCUGCCUUGUACAGGGGGACAACAGUUGGAAACGACUGCUAAUACCGCAUAAGCGCACAGCUUCGCAUGAAGCAGUGUGAAAAGUUUUUCGGUACAAGAUGGACCCGCGUCUGAUUAGCUAGUUGGUGAGGUAACGGCCCACCAAGGCGACGAUCAGUAGCCGACCUGAGAGGGUGACCGGCCACAUUGGGACUGAGACACGGCCCAAACUCCUACGGGAGGCAGCAGUGGGGAAUAUUGCACAAUGGGCGAAAGCCUGAUGCAAGCGACGCCGCGUGAGCGAAGAAGUAUUUCGGUAUGUAAAGCUCUAUCAGCAGGGAAGAUAAUGACGGUACCUGACUAAGAAGCACCGGCUAAAUACGUGCCAGCCGCCGC
This 492-nucleotide ribosomal RNA is filed under the name uncultured bacterium. Its description in RNAcentral is "bacterial SSU rRNA". It matches the Rfam family "Bacterial small subunit ribosomal RNA", at positions 24 to 518 of the family's 1533-position model. The record is from RNAcentral.